This 199-nucleotide small nucleolar RNA is filed under the name Leptobrachium leishanense (Leishan spiny toad). RNAcentral's name for it is "Small nucleolar RNA U3 (ENSLLEG00000002075.1)". It matches the Rfam family "Small nucleolar RNA U3". From Rfam's summary of the family: Small nucleolar RNAs (snoRNAs) are involved in the processing and modification of rRNA in the nucleolus. There are two main classes of snoRNAs: the box C/D class, and the box H/ACA class. The record is from Rfam by way of RNAcentral. Lineage: Eukaryota; Metazoa; Chordata; Amphibia; Anura; Megophryidae.
AAGACUAUACUUUCAGGGAUCAUUUCUAUAGUUUGUUACUGGUGAAAUGUGCUUGAAAGUGUCUGAACUCCGUAUCCACGAGGAUGUGUUGUGCUGCUCUUUCCUGAGCGUGAAGUGAGUCCUCAGCGAUGCUGUGGCUGUUGAUGAUUGUUCUUCACUCUUUUAUAGGAGUGGAGGGAAAGAACACAAGCUGAGUGGU